Molecule: ribosomal RNA, 253 nt
Filed under: uncultured bacterium
Lineage: Bacteria
Description: partial 16S ribosomal RNA
Rfam family: Bacterial small subunit ribosomal RNA
Source: RNAcentral
UACGGGGGGGGCAAGCGUUGUUCGGAAUUAUUGGGCGUAAAGAGCUCGUAGGCGGUUUGUCGCGUCUGCUGUGAAAACCUAAGGCUCAACCUUGGGCUUGCAGUGGGUACGGGCAGACUAGAGUGCGGUAGGGGUGACUGGAAUUCCUGGUGUAGCGGUGGAAUGCGCAGAUAUCAGGAGGAACACCGAUGGCGAAGGCAGGUCACUGGGCCGCAACUGACGCUGAGGAGCGAAAGCAUGGGGAGCGAACAGG